This is a long non-coding RNA of Passer domesticus (house sparrow), 514 nucleotides long. RefSeq lists it as uncharacterized. The record is from RefSeq and is a predicted model, not a curated record. Lineage: Eukaryota; Metazoa; Chordata; Aves; Passeriformes; Passeridae. The transcript is spliced from 4 exons.
UUCCAAAAGUCUGCAGGCAGGCAUAUACCCUUACUGUUGCAAAAGAUUAUGACAUCAUGGAUGUUAAAAAGAGAAUGAAUGAUGUGGUUACUCAUGCAUUCAAUAUAUUACUAGAGAGGGGGUUAUAUGGAAACAUGGCCUUUCUGUCAGCUAGAAGUAACCUGUCUCCUGGGCCACACAAGUCUUGAAGAGUUGCACAGACUAGCCAAAGUCAGGUAGAAUUUUACUGGAGUCCAAUCAGUUCUUUAGACAGCAGUUCUAAAAUUCAAGAAAGCAUUAUCAAACUGUGACACAAAUUCAAUUAUGAUGUUGUGAUGCCAAACCCGUGGUCCUGGCAAAGUGUAUCAUGCAGCAUAUCUAGUUGUUUACGCUUAGAAAACAGAACCACCCUAAGCAAGAGAAAGGUACCCAAACCCCCUUGUUGGCUUCCGCUGAGAAGUUAGAGCACUUACAGAGGGGCAGAACUGGAUUGUCGUCUAUCCCAGACCUGAGAAGAUUCAAGCCCCCAUCUCAU